RNAcentral lists this ribosomal RNA (269 nucleotides) under uncultured Pelotomaculum sp. Its description in RNAcentral is "partial 16S ribosomal RNA". It matches the Rfam family "Bacterial small subunit ribosomal RNA", at positions 1114 to 1382 of the family's 1533-position model. Lineage: Bacteria; Bacillati; Bacillota; Clostridia; Eubacteriales; Desulfotomaculaceae. The record is from RNAcentral.
GUUGCUAACGCGUGAAGGCGAGCACUCUAGACGAACUGACCGUUGACAAAACGGAGGAAGUGGGGAUGACGUCAAAUCAUCAUGCCCCUUAUGUUCUGGGCUACACACGUGCUACAAUGGCCGGUACAGACGGACGCAAAGCCGCGAGGCGGAGCAAAUCCGAAAAAACCGGUCUCAGUUCGGAUUGCAGGCUGCAAUUCGCCUGCAUGAAGUCGGAAUCGCUAGUAAUCGCAGGUCAGCAUACUGCGGUGAAUACGUUCCCGGGCCUU